This 253-nucleotide ribosomal RNA is filed under the name uncultured bacterium. RNAcentral's name for it is "partial 16S ribosomal RNA". It matches the Rfam family "Bacterial small subunit ribosomal RNA", at positions 524 to 776 of the family's 1533-position model. The record is from RNAcentral.
UACGGAGGGUGCAAGCGUUAUCCGGAUUCACUGGGCUUAAAGGGUGCGUAGGUGGGCUGGUAAGUCAGUGGUGAAAUCUCCAGGCUUAACUUGGAAACUGCCAUUGAUACUAUCAGUCUUGAAUACUGUGGAGGUCAGCGGAAUAUGUCAUGUAGCGGUGAAAUGCUUAGAUAUGACAUAGAACACCAAUUGCGAAGGCAGCUGGCUACACGAAUAUUGACACUGAUGCACGAAAGCGUGGGGAUCAAACAGG